This 66-nucleotide non-coding RNA is filed under the name human gut metagenome. RNAcentral describes it as "Glycine riboswitch". It matches the Rfam family "Glycine riboswitch aptamer", at positions 9 to 90 of the family's 94-position model. Rfam says of the family: This family represents the bacterial glycine riboswitch. Glycine riboswitches usually consist of two metabolite-binding aptamers domains with similar structures in tandem. The aptamers cooperatively bind glycine to regulate the expression of downstream genes. The record is from RNAcentral. RNAcentral also lists the same sequence under 1 other name.
UUUGGGAGAGAGCUGAUAUAUCAGCCACCGAAGGGGCGAAACUCUCAGGUAAAAGAACCGAGCCGG